GAUGAAGAACGUAGCGAAAUGCGACAAGUAAUGUGAAUUGCAGAAUUCAGUGAAUCAUCGAAUCUUUGAACGCACCUUGCGCUCUUUGGUAUUCCGAAGAGCAUGCCUGUUUGAGUGUCAUGAAAAUAUCAACCUUGACUUGGGUUUUGUGCUCUAGUCUCGGCUUGGAAUUGGGUGCUUGCCGCUUUUACGAGCGGCUCACCUUAAAUGUAUUAGCUGGAUCUGUCUUUGAGACUUGGUUUGACUUGGCGUAAUAAGUAUUUCGCUAAGGACAUUCUUCGGAGUGGCCUCGUUUCUAGGACGCUUGUCCGCUUUCCAAUACAAGUUCCACCUCGUGGACAUGACUUUUUAUUAUCUGGCCUCAAAUCAGGUAGGACUACCCGCUGAACUUAAGCAUAUCAAUAAGCGGAGGA
RNAcentral lists this unclassified non-coding RNA (413 nucleotides) under soil metagenome. Its description in RNAcentral is "partial contains 5.8S ribosomal RNA, internal transcribed spacer 2, and large subunit ribosomal RNA". The stretch from base 1 to 120 matches the Rfam family "5.8S ribosomal RNA", at positions 35 to 154 of the family's 154-position model. The record is from RNAcentral.